RNAcentral lists this ribosomal RNA (484 nucleotides) under uncultured bacterium. Its description in RNAcentral is "partial 16S ribosomal RNA". It matches the Rfam family "Bacterial small subunit ribosomal RNA", at positions 28 to 507 of the family's 1533-position model. The record is from RNAcentral.
AUUGAACGCUGGCGGCAUGCUUUACACAUGCAAGUCGAACGGCAGCGCGGGCUUCGGCCUGGCGGCGAGUGGCGAACGGGUGAGUAAUGCAUCGGAACGUGCCCAGUAGUGGGGGAUAGCCCGGCGAGGGCCGGAGUACUACCACAUACGAGCUGCGGGUGAAACCGGGGGGGCGAAGGGCAGCGCCCUAUUGGGGGGACGGAUGUCGGGUUUGCUAGUUGGUUGGGUAAGUGGUUACCUAGCCGACGAUCCGUGGAUAGUCGGAGAGGACGACCAGCCACACUGGGACUGAGACACGCACAAUACUCCUACGGGAGGCAGCAGUCGGGAAUGGGGGACAAUGGUGGCAAACCUGAUCCAGCCAUGCCGCGUGCGAGAAGACGGCGUUGGGGUUGUAAACACCGUUUGUGCGGUAAGAACUCCUCUCGGCUAAUACGCCGGGGGGGUGACGGUACCGGAAGAAGAAGCACCGGCUAACUACGUG